Molecule: long non-coding RNA, 846 nt
Organism: Eupeodes corollae
Lineage: Eukaryota; Metazoa; Arthropoda; Insecta; Diptera; Syrphidae
Exons: 2
Source: RefSeq, a predicted model, not a curated record
UGACGCUUUUAACGUUUUUGACUUUUAAUUGAGUUCUGUUCGAAUGGACUCCAAAGCAUAUGUUAAGGUUUGUGAACAUACCUAUUUAACCUGUCAUUCGAAAACAAUUCAAACUCAUUUCGAUAAUUGUGAUGCUUGUCAAAAGUAAAAAUGUUGAAAAAUAAAAUCAAAAUGCACGAUGAGUCAAUCAACGACAAAACCAAAUAUUUGUUUCCUAUAAAAUGUACGGAAUGUGCAAAAUACAGAUUAUCAAGUUAUGGUAAUUUAUUGAAUAUCUUGCUUGUGAGUUCUGAGCGCCGAAACCGCCGCCGCCGCCGCGUCGCACCUAUACGUAAACGAACAAGUACGUAAUGUAGAUUUUAAUUAUUCUAAUCAUACAAACGACCGAAACGGACGUGAUGGCUAUACACACGUUCUAAUCAGGAAGGGAUUAUUCGAACUUGCCUUUUGCUUCAUUCUAGUUUAGGUUCUGUUUAGUGCUCUCGUAUUCUAUGGAAGUAGUAGCACUAGCGCAAGUAUAAUAUUAUUAAUAAUACAACUAUGGACUCAUGGACAGUUUCCGGAUUAUUUUCUUAACAUCCAGUGUCAUUAUGUGUAAUAAAUUAUCAUCAAAAUGGGCAAAGACGGCUUUUGCACUUGUUUCAACUGGACUGCGUACUCCACAUAAGACAACAACGACGACGAUGCGACGAGCGACCGACGGACGCUCAGAAAUGCAAAAUUAUUACUGUGUGAAAUUUGUGCAACAAUAAAAAUGAAAUAAAUUCAUUGGAAUGUUGUUGGGAGUUGAUUAAAAACUAAUUGUAAACAACACCAUCAAUUGAAUACGAAACUAAAAAAUAACAA